UGGAUUUUUUCUUCUCUGUUCCAGCCCUCUUUUUCCCAGACAGCACUCAGUCCCUGGAUUUCCUUCCCUUCUCCUACCUAGCCAUUCCCAAUACCAUUUUUCCUUUCUCCAUCUGCUUCCCUAAGGAUUUGUCUCAUGAUGUUCUGGUUCCAGAGUCCUUCAGAGCAGAGGAAGGCUGGGCUUGCAGUUCCGACACCAGGAUUCCACUCCAUGUCCACUGAGGCCUGAUGUCAUAGGGAGAGUCUGGAGACUGAGACAGAACUUUUGGGAUUCACCUCGGUGCUUUUACUACUCUUGUGUUCCUCUCUGGAAUUGCUUUUGUCCAUUGGACUUUUGUAUGCAUCAACAACACCCCAAGUUCUUCUCCACUAACAAGCACUUCCCAAGAGCGGGUGUAUGAAGUCAGGAACCACUGUGGUAAAUUCAGUAAGCGUGUGUGAGAAGAUAUGGAUGGCUGUAAGCUUUUGACUGCAGCAUGAAAGAGCCAACAGCAGCAGUCCUACAGGUGACUUGCUUAUGAGCAAAGGCCAAACUGUGUCCAGGAGGUAUCUUCUAACUCUGCUGAUAAAGAAACCUGAGCUGAAUGAAGUGUGGACACUCACCUGUAGGCUGGUUUCCAUACACCCAUAUCAGUAAUAUUUUCAAACAGGCCUACGGUACAGAGAAGGUAGGAGAUAUUGCCAGUGUUCAUAACACAGAACAGCCUUCAGACUGCUCUGAAUUAAUUCCAAGGACUGAAAGGAUGGAAAGCUUCCCGGGAGAAAAACCCUGGGCAAAGGAAUCAUGUUCAGAGAAUGUGAAUGCCACAGUUCCCCCUGAACAUGAGGAAGAACUUUCUUUACUGGGCUGAUGACUGAGCACUAGAACAGAUUGACCAGAAAUGUUGAGGAGUCUCCCUCACUGCAGAUAUUCAGGAGAUGCCUGGACACAAUCCUGUGCCCUGUGCUCUAGGAUGAACCUGCUUGAGCAGAGAGGCUGGACCAGGAGACCUGCUGUUGCCUGUGCCAACUGACCCAUUCUGUGAUUCUGUGAUUAGCUGAUUUUGCCUAGAGUGAGUAACACAAAAUGCCAGCAUGAUUGUUUUUCAACAGUCAGAAUAGACUGAGAGAAAAAAUAAAUGCUUUCUGCCCACUGCGUGUCACAUCAUAUAUCCUGCACUUCUGCAAUAUUAAAUUCUUCUUUUAGGAUCAUAGUUACUUGCCUCUGCAUGAGUCCUUGGUUCCUACAAGGCUUAUUCAGAAUUUAUACCAAAUGAAGAUCAAUAGGAAAUGAGAUUCCUCUCCUACCAGACCACUGUUAUAAAAGAGAUGCCUUUCUGGAGGGCAGGAUUAACACCAGCACAGAAGAUAUUGCUUGAUGCAAGAGUGAUGUACAUGAGAUUCUCUGCCUUGAAGUAAGAUUGGAUAAUCAUAAGGAGUCUUUUUGUCUAUAAAUGGCAUGACUGAUUUCCCAGGCAUGCAUAGCUCUCAAGUGGAGUCUGUUUAGACUGUUUAAUCUAUGCAGAUUUUCAGACUGGAGUUGUGGAAAAUGAGUGAAGCAAAUAUAUUUUAACUAAUGCUUUACAACAUGCUAUGGCAGCUCUCAGCUAUGGCAGAGAGCAUGGAAUAUAUUGUACCAUGCUAGACAAGCCACUCUCCUGUGUGUUAAGAUCAGCUUAUUGUGAGAUGCCUCUACCCAAAAAAAAAAGGUCAAACAAGACCAUGUGCCAAAAUCAAUAAUGUGGAUUUUAUUUGACAGUAAAAUGUGAGGUAGAGAGGUGGAAAGAAAUAGAAAAGAGGGAGGGGGAGAGAGAAAUAGAUUAAGUAGAAAGAUAUUCACCAUGCCUGUGGAUACAGUAGUAUCCUAUUGGUCCUUCAUCAUGGUCUUCUUUGUGGUGUGAUUCCUCCAGCCCCUCAAAACUUUUCAUCCUUUAUACAUUUUAGCAAUCAAAGGAAUCAAUGUCCAUGGGCUACAUUAUUUUCUCAAUUCCAGUGCUAUUUAUGCCCAUGUUCAGUCUUUCUAUUCCUUUGAGUUGAUGGGUUUCUUAUAUGGUUCCCCGCUUCCAGACCAGCCAGAGCUGAUUUUCAGCACAGUUGCUGUUUUGGCUUCCUUUGUGUAUUCUUUAUGUCCAUUAUCAGUCUUCCCCCAGCUUAUUUACCUCUUCCUAGCUUGAGAUAAUCAGACAAUAGUACCAUCUUUACCUUACCUCAGGUUACAGGUGCUUAUCUAACUGUCCAAACUUCCAGGAAUUCAUGAAGGAAUAUUUGGGUGGAGGGUGGGAUGUGUUCAAAGGUCACUGAUGAUUGAGCAGGUUCUUCUCUCUGCAGUUUUCCAUAGUGGACAUAGUCCUUCAGUGAUCUUAACAGUGUGUGAGGAAAUUAUGAUCCAUAAGUCUCUUACACUGUGGCGCCAAUGACCAUCCAAGUCUCACCCUUUAUAUCCUGACUUUGGAAAACUGAGUGCAGAGGGAGCUGUAAUGCUCUUUGUUUCCCUUCA
Molecule: long non-coding RNA, 2475 nt
Organism: Passer domesticus (house sparrow)
Lineage: Eukaryota; Metazoa; Chordata; Aves; Passeriformes; Passeridae
Exons: 6
Source: RefSeq, a predicted model, not a curated record